UACAGAGGUCUCAAGCGUUGUUCGGAUUCAUUGGGCGUAAAGGGUGCGUAGGCGGCGCGGUAAGUCGGGCGUGAAAUCUCGGAGCUUAACUCCGAAACUGCAUUCGAUACUGCCGUGCUUGAGGACUGGAGAGGAGACUGGAAUUUACGGUGUAGCGGUGAAAUGCGUAGAUAUCGUAAGGAAGACCAGUGGCGAAGGCGGGUCUCUGGACAGUUCCUGACGCUGAGGCACGAAGGUCAGGGGAGCAAACAGG
Molecule: ribosomal RNA, 253 nt
Filed under: uncultured bacterium
Lineage: Bacteria
Description: partial 16S ribosomal RNA
Rfam family: Bacterial small subunit ribosomal RNA
Source: RNAcentral